CAGAGGGCAGGGUGCUGGCUAAYGGYCAKUCGAGGYSASUYKCAGGAAAGUGCCACAGAAAACAAACCGCCCGUUCCGAAAGGGGCGGGUAAGGGUGAAACGGUGCGGUAAGAGCGCACCGCGUCCGGGGCGACUCGGACGGCACGGUAAACCCCACCUGGAGCAAGAGCCAAUAGGAGCGCGUCCCUCGCUGUCGGGGGGACAAGGAUGGCCCGUCCCAGGCGCUCGGGUUGCUCGCUGAUGAGGCUCCUGGGCAACCAGGACCCUAGAUGAAUGUUCGCCGCCCACUCCGAAAGGGGUGGGG
This 304-nucleotide unclassified non-coding RNA is filed under the name Myxococcus sp. 35. RNAcentral's name for it is "partial RNAseP RNA". It matches the Rfam family "Bacterial RNase P class A", at positions 60 to 320 of the family's 367-position model. Rfam says of the family: Ribonuclease P (RNase P) is a ubiquitous endoribonuclease, found in archaea, bacteria and eukarya as well as chloroplasts and mitochondria. Its best characterised activity is the generation of mature 5'-ends of tRNAs by cleaving the 5'-leader elements of precursor-tRNAs. The record is from RNAcentral. Lineage: Bacteria; Pseudomonadati; Myxococcota; Myxococcia; Myxococcales; Myxococcaceae.